Molecule: RNA transcript, 2569 nt
Organism: Chrysemys picta bellii (western painted turtle)
Lineage: Eukaryota; Metazoa; Chordata; Testudines; Emydidae
Gene: DCDC2
Gene name: doublecortin domain containing 2
Source: RefSeq, a predicted model, not a curated record
GGAAGGGGAGGGAAGAUAAAGUUUCCUGAGCAACGGAGUAAAACCACUUGCGAAAGAAGAGAGCUGCAAGUGCAAAGUGAGGCUGUGAAGAUCCGGCAGGACUAUGGGUUCCUUACUAUGCUCAGUUACUUUUUCUCCUCCUUUAGAUCUGUAUAUACGUUUUUUUGGGUAUGGCUUAGUGUAAUCUGUGUUAGCCACACCAGGCUCCAGGGAGCAGCAAGAAUCGGUUGCCUAGCAGAGGUUGCUCUUGAAGGGCUGAACAGAAUUGUACUGGAAACCUUAGGGAGGCUCUCAUCCCUCCCUGGUUGUUUUAGACAGGGAUUUGCCUAUUGGAGGUGGUGCUUGGUGCAGGUAUUGUGUGCAUGUGUGUACACAGUUCAUGCAUCACAGGUAUUUGACAGUGUGUGUGAGAGAGGAACAUUCUUGUUGAAUAAACAGGUGCAGACAGUGCCUGGAGGGCAGCACUGACUGUCUGGCCGCAGCAACAGCAGCGAGAGGAGUUGAACAUGAGUAGCCCCCCACGAAGCCGACCUGCCUGUCACAGCCAAUGGUGAAGAGUGUGCUGGUGUAUCGCAACGGGGAUCCGUUCUUUCCGGGGCACCGGGUAGUCGUCCAUGAGAAGAAGGUGUCCAACUUCGAGGUCUUCCUGAAAGAGGUGACUGGUGGGGUGAAGGCGCCUUUUGGGGCUGUGCGUAGCAUCUACACCCCCCGGGGCGGGCAUCGCGUCCGUCAGCUGGAGGAGCUCCAGAGUGGAGAGCACUAUGUGGCUGGUGGCAGGGAGGCCUUCAAGAAACUCAACUAUUUGGACAUAGGAGAGGCAAAGAAAAAGCCUGCAGAAGUCAAUAAUGAGUUAACAGUGGAAGAUGUGAAGCCAGUUACCCACAGUAGAAUCAAUGUGUCAGCACGGUUUCGAAAACCACUUCAAGAGCCAUGCACUAUUUUUCUGAUUGCUAAUGGAGACCUUAUAAAUCCAGCAGUGCGCCUCUUCAUCCCUAGAAAAACACUAAAUCAGUGGGAUCAUGUUCUUGAAAUGGUGACAGAAAAAGUAACCCUCCGAAGUGGAGCUGUGCACAGGCUUUAUACUUUAGAUGGAAAACUUGUUCAGAGUGGGUCAGAUCUGGAGAAUGGGCAGUUCUAUGUCGCAGUGGGCAGAGACAAGUUUAAGAAGUUGCCUUAUGGUGAUCUACUGUUUAGCAAGUCUACAAUAAGAAGACCUCAGGGUUCCAAAGCCUCUUCACUGCCUCCUGUUGUGGGAUCCCGAAAAUCGAAAGGGAGUGGAAAUGAUCGCCAAUCUAAAUCUACUGUUGGCUCCCGUGACACAGGAGACAUGGUGUCAUCUCCUCAGCCUCCAAAGAGAAAGGAAAAGAGAGAACAGACUCAAGAGAAGAUCAGUUUUUCUAACAAACCCACAAAAGUGAAGCAAAAUAUAAGAGCAACAACUUAUAUCCUUCAAGAUAAUGAUGAAGGUAUUUACAAAGCUGGUGAAAAACGGUCUGAAACGUGGGGGGCAGCGGAAAUCCAGGAAGAUGAAGACACUCAAGUAGAGGUUCCAGUCGAUCAGAGGCCAGCAGAAACAGUAGAUGAGGAAGAAAAUGAAGAAGAGGGAGAUGAGGGAGAAAUGAAUGGAGAUCAGGGAGAGGAAAUGGGGGAGGCCGUUAAUGGAAAUGUUCUCCAGAAUGAGAUAGAAGAAAAUGAAGAGAAAAUAAAUGAGAAUUAUGAAGAGCAAGAAGAAGAGAAUUUUGGACAGCUGGAGAAAGAGGGGCCUUUCCACUUAAACGGUGAAACUAAUGAAGAAAAUGGUGAGGAAAUGGAGCAGUUUAAUGACCACAAUGAUCUUCAUCCUGAAGAAGAAACAAAAGCACCAGAGAACUUUGACAAUCAAAGCCAGGAGAGGGUCUUCAACAGCAGGAAAUGGAAUCAGAAAUGUCUGUGUCACGUGUGAACUACCCCAAGUGUUCGGUAACCUGAGCAGUGGAUAGAUUUCCUGAGAUUACACGAUUGACUCUCAUCUGGAAAAAACAUCAAAUCCAAGAGUAACUAUCACCAGCCCACAAGAAAGUGAAAAAAAUGACCAAACCAAUGAGUAUGCUGCUGUAGCAUAGACUUUUUAAAAAGUAGAUUAGCAGAAAAUGAAGGAUUGUAAUAUUUGACAUUUAAAGCAUGUUGUUAUCUGUGAUUGAUAAUUUAUAAUGUGAAGAUACAGUUGAGUACCACCUAUUGAGUCUUGAAAUGAUAAUGCCAUAUGGAUUGACAGAGAUAAUGAACAUCCUAUUAAAAGGAAGACUGAAUUAUUUUCACAAUAUGUGGCUUACUGAUGAGAUUUUAGGGGGGAAAUUUAGGGGGUUUUGUUUAGAAAUACUAUAAAUAAGUGAGCUAUUCCUUCUUUGUUCUCAGAUGAUAGUACUAGAAUCAACCCCAUUUGUUAGUCUUCCAGUAUGCUCCAAAAAAGCAUUUGUUAGAUAUCAGAGUUUUUCAGCAAUUUUGUUUAGAAAAGAAUAUUUUUGUGACUUCUAAUGGAAAAAUGUAUAAUGUUUUUCUUAGAAUAAUAAACAGCUAGAAAUAUGAGGUA